UCGAGGAUCUUCGGCAAUGGGCGCAAGCCUGACCGAGCGACGCCGCGUGGAUGAUGAAGGCCUUCGGGUUGUAAAAUCCUGUCGAGGGGGAUCAAGGGCAACUUGAGUGAUCCCUGGAGGAAGCACGGGCUAAGUUCGUGCCAGCAGCCGCGGUAAGACGAACCGUGCAAACGUUAUUCGGAAUCACUGGGCAUAAAGGGCGCGUAGGCGGCUUCAUAAGUCAGGGGUGAAAUCCGGCAGCUUAACUGUCGCAGUGCCUUUGAUACUGUGGAGCUCGAGGGAGGUAGGGGUCUGUGGAACUUCCGGUGGAGCGGUGAAAUGCGUUGAUAUCGGAAGGAACGCCGGUGGCGAAAGCGACGGACUGGAUCUCUUCUGACGCUGAGGCGCGAAAGCCAGGGGAGCAAACGGGAUUAGAUACCCCCGUAGUCC
Molecule: ribosomal RNA, 429 nt
Filed under: uncultured bacterium
Lineage: Bacteria
Description: bacterial SSU rRNA
Rfam family: Bacterial small subunit ribosomal RNA
Source: RNAcentral